GAUGAACGCUGGCUGCGUGCCUAAUACAUGCAAGUCGAGCGAACGGACGAGAAGCUUGCUUCUCUGAUGUUAGCGGCGGACGGGUGAGUAACACGUGGAUAACCUACCUAUAAGACUGGGAUAACUUCGGGAAACCGUAGCUAAUACCGGAUAAUAUUUUUAACCGCAUGGUUCAAAAGUGAAAGACGGUCUUGCUGUCACUUAUAGAUGGAUCCGCGCUGCAUUAGCUAGUUGGUAAGGUAACGGCUUACCAAGGCAACGAUGCAUAGCCGACCUGAGAGGGUGAUAGGCCACACUGGAACUGAGACACGGUCCAGACUCCUACGGGAGGCAGCAGUAGGGAAUCUUCCGCAAUGGGAGAAAGCCUGACGGAGCAACGCCGCGUGAGUGAUGAAGGUCUUCGGAUCGUAAAACUCUGUUAUUAGGGAAGAACAUAUGUGUAAGUAACUGUGCACAUCUUGAAGGUACCUAAUCAGAAAGCCACGGCUAACUACGUG
RNAcentral lists this ribosomal RNA (497 nucleotides) under uncultured bacterium. RNAcentral's name for it is "partial 16S ribosomal RNA". It matches the Rfam family "Bacterial small subunit ribosomal RNA", at positions 28 to 507 of the family's 1533-position model. The record is from RNAcentral.